AUUAAACGCUGGCGGCAUGCCUUACACAUGCAAGUCGAACGGCAGCACGGGAGCAAUCCUGGUGGCGAGUGGCGAACGGGUGAGUAAUAUAUCGGAACGUGCCCAGUCGUGGGGAUAACGUAGCGAAAGCUACGCUAAUACCGCAUACGAUCUAUGGACGAAAGCGGGGGAUCGCAAGACCUCGCGCGAUUGGAGCGGCCGAUAUCAGAUUAGGUAGUUGGUGAGGUAAAGGCUCACCAAGCCGACGAUCUGUAGCUGGUCUGAGAGGACGACCAGCCACACUGGGACUGAGACACGGCCCAGACUCCUACGGGAGGCAGGCAGUGGGGAAUUUUGGACAAUGGCGCAAGCCUGAUCCAGCAAUAGCCGCGUGCCAGGAUGAAGGCCU
Molecule: ribosomal RNA, 388 nt
Filed under: uncultured bacterium
Lineage: Bacteria
Description: bacterial SSU rRNA
Rfam family: Bacterial small subunit ribosomal RNA
Source: RNAcentral